Molecule: long non-coding RNA, 1368 nt
Filed under: Equus caballus (horse)
Lineage: Eukaryota; Metazoa; Chordata; Mammalia; Perissodactyla; Equidae
Description: lncRNA (ENSECAG00000055731.1)
Source: RNAcentral
CUUCAGUUCCACGUGUAACCUAAUUCCCCCUUCCAUGUGAUGUAACAUCUUCAGGAUCUCCAGGAACUAGAGCACGGACCAUUUUUGGUGGGGGGACCAUAAUUCUGCCUACCACGAUGAACCACUGAAGGGUUUUAAGUAAGGGAACGACAAGGAUUUUUAACCUGAUGGAGCUCUUCUGCACGAUUGGACUAUUCCCCCAACAACCAAGUAUGGGCAUAAGGACUAUAAUAAUUGCCCCGUUAUGGAUGUGGAAACAGACCCUGGUCACUGCCCAGGUUCACAGAGCUGCCAACGCAGAACCCUGAAGAGGAACUAGUGUUCAGGCUCAUUUAUCUGGAUUUCUUUAUGCCAUCCAUGGGGUGGGGCAUUCUGGGAAACUCAAGUGGGCCGUCAGCACACCUUGGGUGCAGUUGUUCGUGUAUGACUUGGUGCCCCAUAAACAUUUGUUGAAUGGGUGCAUAACCCUGCUUUCACUUCUGUGGCACAGACAGUGAUUUUCAAGGCAGGAAAACUGGGAAUCAUCCUAGAAUUUCUUCCUUUCCCCCAGCUCCAAUCUAUUUGCAAAUUCUGUCAGCUGCACCGCCAAAACAUUAACAGACGCUGAGUCCAUCCCCUUCUUCCCAGCUUCUCGGCUCCCCCUCUGUCCCAGGGCCUGUCAUCUCUCACCCGGGCCACCACAGUGACCUCUUCACUCGCCUCGCUGCUUUGCCUCUCUAAUCCACACUCCAGGUAGGGGCCAAAGUGAUCGACUUCAAAUGUAAAUCAGAUGCCAUGGCCUCCCUGGUUGAAUUUCUCAUUGGCUUUCCAUCAUACGGAGAAGGAAACCCUAAACCUCCAAUCGUGGCCAUAUGAGGUCCUGCAUGCUUGUCUUCUCUUUGGCUUCAUUCUCACCACCUCCCCUGGGCUCCCUCCCUCCAGUCCCACUGGCACCUCCCAAAUGCCAAGCUUUUCUCACCACAGGGCCCUUGCCCAUGCUGUUCCUUCUACUGGAAAACUCUCCACUCUUUAAAUAGCUGGGUCUUUCUUAUAGGUCAGAUAUCAGCUGGAAUAUCACCUAUUUGGAGAGGUUCUUCCUGCCUCCCCUUUUGUUCCCUUCACAGAAAAUCAUGACCAUUUGUAAAUACUUUGUCUGUUUUCUUAUUGCAUUUGCCUUCCCUCCUAGACUUGAGAUGUCCAAUAUGAAGCUACCAGCCACACAUGGCUGUUAAGCAUUUGACACGUGGCUAGUCUGAACUGAGAUGUGCUCAAAGUGUAAAAUGCGCACUGGAUUUUAAAGUCUUCAUACAAUAAAAAGCAUGUAAGAUAUGUCGAUAAUUUUUAAAUAAUGGCUACAUGUUGAAGUGAUAAUAUUUUGGAUAUAUUGGG